GCGGGGGUUGCCAAGCUAGGUCAAAGGCGAUAGGUUCAGGGCCUAUUCUCGUAGGAGUUCGUGCGUUCAAAUCGCACCCCCCGCA
RNAcentral lists this transfer RNA (85 nucleotides) under Methanobacteriota archaeon. RNAcentral's name for it is "tRNA-Leu". Lineage: Archaea; Methanobacteriati; Methanobacteriota. The record is from RNAcentral. RNAcentral also lists the same sequence under 1 other name.